CUACGGGGGGCAGCAGUAGGGAAUAUUGGGCAAUGGGCGAGAGCCUGACCCAGCCAUGCCGCGUGCAGGAUGAAGGCCUUCUGGGUUGUAAACUGCUUUUAUAAGGGAAGAAAACGUUCCUGCGGGAAUAACUGACGGUACCUUAUGAAUAAGCACCGGCUAACUCCGUGCCAGCAGCCGCGGUAAUACGGAGGGUGCAAGCGUUGUCCGGAUUUAUUGGGUUUAAAGGGUGCGUAGGCGGAUUGUUAAGUCAGUGGUGAAAGUCUGCGGCUCAACCGUAGAAGUGCCAUUGAUACUGGCAGUCUUGAGUACAGUAGAGGUAGGCGGAAUUUAUGGUGUAGCGGUGAAAUGCAUAGAUACCAUAAAGAACACCUAUAGCGAAGGCAGCUUACUAUGCUGUAACUGACGCUGAGGCACGAAAGCGUGGGGAGCGAACAGGAUUAGAUACCCCCGUAGUC
This 458-nucleotide ribosomal RNA is filed under the name uncultured bacterium. RNAcentral's name for it is "partial 16S ribosomal RNA". It matches the Rfam family "Bacterial small subunit ribosomal RNA", at positions 339 to 795 of the family's 1533-position model. The record is from RNAcentral.